UGUCCGAUUCGUAUGAUUUUUUUUGUAU
RNAcentral lists this small RNA (28 nucleotides) under Bombyx mori (domestic silkworm). RNAcentral's name for it is "ovarian small RNA-35686". The record is from RNAcentral. Lineage: Eukaryota; Metazoa; Arthropoda; Insecta; Lepidoptera; Bombycidae.